GAUUAAGUUAUUAAGGGCGCACGGUGGAUGCCUUGGCACUAGAAGCCGAUGAAGGACGUUACUAACGACGAUAUGCUUUGGGGAGCUGUAAGUAAGCUUUGAUCCAGAGAUUUCCGAAUGGGGAAACCCAGCAUGAGUUAUGUCAUGUUAUCGAUAUGUGAAUACAUAGCAUAUCAGAAGGCACACCCGGAGAACUGAAACAUCUUAGUACCCGGAGGAAGAGAAAGAAAAUUCGAUUCCCUUAGUAGCGGCGAGCGAAACGGGAAGAGCCCAAACCAACAAGCUUGCUUGUUGGGGUUGUAGGACACUCUAUACGGAGUUACAAAGGACGACAUUAGACGAAUCAUCUGGAAAGAUGAAUCAAAGAAGGUAAUAAUCCUGUAGUCGAAAAUGUUGUCUCUCUUGAGUGGAUCCUGAGUACGACGGAGCACGUGAAAUUCCGUCGGAAUCUGGGAGGACCAUCUCCUAAGGCUAAAUACUCUCUAGUGACCGAUAGUGAACCAGUACCGUGAGGGAAAGGUGAAAAGCACCCCGGAAGGGGAGUGAAAUAGAACCUGAAACCGUGUGCUUACAAGUAGUCAGAGCCCGUUAAUGGGUGAUGGCGUGCCUUUUGUAGAAUGAACCGGCGAGUUACGAUUUGAUGCAAGGUUAAGCAGUAAAUGUGGAGCCGUAGCGAAAGCGAGUCUGAAUAGGGCGUUUAGUAUUUGGUCGUAGACCCGAAACCAGGUGAUCUACCCUUGGUCAGGUUGAAGUUCAGGUAACACUGAAUGGAGGACCGAACCGACUUACGUUGAAAAGUGAGCGGAUGAACUGAGGGUAGCGGAGAAAUUCCAAUCGAACCUGGAGAUAGCUGGUUCUCUCCGAAAUAGCUUUAGGGCUAGCCUCAAGUGAUGAUUAUUGGAGGUAGAGCACUGUUUGGACGAGGGGCCCC
RNAcentral lists this ribosomal RNA (931 nucleotides) under Staphylococcus aureus. RNAcentral describes it as "partial 23S ribosomal RNA". It matches the Rfam family "Bacterial large subunit ribosomal RNA", at positions 1 to 929 of the family's 2925-position model. Lineage: Bacteria; Bacillati; Bacillota; Bacilli; Caryophanales; Staphylococcaceae. The record is from RNAcentral.